UACGUAGGGUCCGAGCGUUGUCCGGAAUUAUUGGGCGUAAAGGGCUCGUAGGCGGUCUGUUGCGUCGGGAGUGAAAACUUACAGCUUAACUGUGAGCGUGCUUCCGAUACGGGCAGACUUGAGGUAUUCAGGGGAGAACGGAAUUCCUGGUGUAGCGGUGAAAUGACGCAGAUAUCAGGAGGAACACCGGUGGCGAAAGCGACUUCCUGGACCAAUACUGACGCUCAUGUGCGAAAGCGUGGGGAGCAAACAGG
Molecule: ribosomal RNA, 254 nt
Filed under: uncultured bacterium
Lineage: Bacteria
Description: partial 16S ribosomal RNA
Rfam family: Bacterial small subunit ribosomal RNA
Source: RNAcentral